GCUUGUCUCAAAGAUUAAGCCAUGCAUGUCUAAGUAUAAACGAAUUUAUACUGUGAAACUGCGAAUGGCUCAUUACAUCAGUUAUAGUUUAUUUGAUGGUCCUUGCUACUUGGAUAACCGUAGUAAUUCUAGAGCUAAUACAUGCAUAAAACCCUAACUUCUGGAAAGGGUGUAUUUAUUAGAUAAAAAACCAACGCCCUUCGGGGCUCCUUGGUGAAUCAUAAUAACUUAACGAAUCGCAUGGCCUUGCGCCGGCGAUGGUUCAUUCAAAUUUCUGCCCUAUCAACUUUCGAUGGUAGGAUAGUGGCCUACCAUGGUGGCAACGGGUAACGGGGAAUUAGGGUUCGAUUCCGGAGAGGGAGCCUGAGAAACGGCUACCACAUCCAAGGAAGGCAGCAGG
RNAcentral lists this ribosomal RNA (400 nucleotides) under uncultured Eurotiomycetes. RNAcentral's name for it is "partial small subunit ribosomal RNA". It matches the Rfam family "Eukaryotic small subunit ribosomal RNA", at positions 30 to 432 of the family's 1831-position model. The record is from RNAcentral. Lineage: Eukaryota; Fungi; Ascomycota; Eurotiomycetes.